This 39932-nucleotide long non-coding RNA is filed under the name Setaria italica (foxtail millet). Its description in RNAcentral is "long non-coding RNA (SITA_LNC005618)". Lineage: Eukaryota; Viridiplantae; Streptophyta; Magnoliopsida; Poales; Poaceae. The record is from RNAcentral.
CCACAUGGGGUCGCACCACUUGUCCACGUCUAGGCCCAGCACUGCAGAUCAUGGGCGUACCACCACGGAGGCACCUACGUCAUCAAAUAUAUGACAUAUAAGAAGAUGAAAUUAAGUGUAAUUAAUCUUAGAAAUAAUAAGUAUUAAUGUUCUAUAUUUACCUGCAGGUAUUGUUCUCGGGUCAGUGCUAGCGUCCCUUUUAGUGACCCUCUCUCCAAGGUGUUCCGUGUGGAAUUGGAUUACGGCCUGGACGCGCGCCUCGUAGUGCAUGUCCUUGACUAGUUUCUUGGCGUCUUUGUCAGCCACAGCAUCCGCCUUAGCCUCGUAUCUCGAUGCGCAUAUAAAAAAAUCCUGCAUAUAGACGCGAUGUAUCCGAUCAUUAUUUCAAGAAUGUCAAAUCAAUACGAUGUAUUGAGAAAUGUAGUUAGAUAAAGACUUACCCACAGCUCGACCUUGACACGCUCAUUUUUGUUGGCGAAUACCCUUCCAUCCCAAUCAACGGCGUCCGGAGCGGCGGCAUAGUGGGGCCCACGUGUACGCCGGCUCAAGAGCUCCGCCAAACUACACCAUGCCAGGGAACUUUUCCUUGAUCAAAAGUCCAAGGACAUCGUUCAGAUGAUGUGCGUGAUCACCCCCACCAACCUUCGUCCAACCUUUGCCAAUGUGAUUAAAACAAAUUAUUAGUUUCUAUUGUAAUUUUGAACAUUUCAAACAAAAAAUUAGUGAUAACAUCUAAAGUUACUUACCUCUCUCCUUUGGGUCGAAUCAGCGGGCAUCUUUCAUGAGGUAUCGGUUGCCUCGGGAGGGUCGAGGGACCUCGCAACCACACACGCGACGAAGUAGAGGAAGAGGUACCCCCUGCUUCCUCCUUCACCUCUGCCUUCUCCUGCACCCCAACCUCCUCCUCCACCUGUACCUCCUUCUCCUCUUCAGAGGGUGAGUGAGCAGAAGGUACCUCCUCAGACCUAGACGUUGCCGAAGGUACAGGCGACUCUGGCCUCAUCCUGCCUCCACCCUUCCCUUGACCCCUGCCUCCACCCCUAGGUCUACCCCGAGGUCUCUUCCCGAACCCUUCAGCUGCAUCGAACCCUUUACGCAUCGCUUUUGAGUAAAGCGUCGCUAACCUCCUCAUACCGCCCACCAUUGUUCAGUCACCUGCUAUUAAACCUCCUCAUACCGCGCACCAUUGUUCAGUCACCUGCUAUUAAAUAGAGUAAACCAAUUAGCACAAAUAAUACAUCAAAAUAGAUGCAAAAUAAACUAAACAUACUUAGAAAAUAACAUGGUAUGACAAAUAAUAAAUCAAUUAGUAUAGAUCAUACAUGUAUUAGAAAUAAUCAUCAUCAUCGGGAUUAGCUGGAUCAUAAGUCUCAUCAUCACUAUCAUGCAUGUCGAAAUAAUCAUCAACGUGCUCCGAAGGAGGAAUGUCAUCAUCACCGUCAUUGCUUAAAUGUAAUCGCUAAAGUGAUUAUGAGUUCUUCGCAUUCUGAACCUCGUAACUGGAGUCCUCAUCAGCACCACUUUCAUUGUCUACUUCCAUACCCUAAGCUUCAGUUAAGUCUAUCUCAAAAUUCCCUACAAGCCCAUCUUCUUGAAAGAACUCUCCGUCAUAUGUGUUGGGGUCUAUGUUGUAAUCUUCAUUGUUUGGGACUGUUGGGCUAACAUCACCAGGCCCACGAGUAGGCCUUGUACGGCCCACUCAGGGAUGUACUCAGAUGAGAUCAGGAUAUGGAAGGCUACACCACAGGGUAACGUAGCCUCCACAGACCCCUGAAGACUAGUCGGAAUAGACAAGGGAACUACUCUACCGACUAGGAGUAAAAUUCUGUAACCAUGUCCGACUAGGACUCCACCCUGUAACCCUACUCCCCCGACUAUAUGAAGGCGAGUAGGGACCCCCCCCCCUAAACAGGAGCUAAGAAGUUCGAUACAAUCAACACACAGGACGUAGGGUAUAACACGAUCUAGCGGUCCGAACCUAUCUAAAUCAUGUGUCCUUGCGUCACCAUCGACUCCUUGAUUCUCGAUGACACCCACCAUACAAAAAUACCACCUAGGGUACCCCCUAGGUGGGUUACCGGUCUAAAACACCGACAGCUAGCGCGCCAGGUAGGGGUAGUCGCCGAGUUUCUCCGCGCGAGAUUGAUGGCAUCCGUCAUUAUGGAGCUUGUUUUCACCUUUGAGGCAGGCGCAACCUUUGUUUUUGGGUCUGGAUCAUUUCAGCGCCACACCAUUAGCAUCCAGCAGAAGGAACAUCUCGACGAAAACUUUUUUCAGCAAGAAACGGGAGAUUUCGCCGAGAAAAACCAAGUUUUCAUGUCAACAACAACAAAUUCGACUACGGCUCGGACUCGACCUCAACUCGGACUAGUCGGCACAAGCUGAAACCCCAGUUACCCCGCAAGUCGACUUCAACCCGAAGACGAUUCCCGUACGGACUCCGCAACUCCGCCGAGAUCCACCAAGGUCUCCUUACUCGAACCCAACCCGAACUCGGGACAGUUAAGGAUUGCGACUACAACUCGGACUACGUCCAAGAAAUUCCAUUAUCAAGCCCAGCUCAAGGUUUGGUAGUUACUUCAACCCCACAAGGCAGAUUCGUUUAUUGGCCAGGGAGGAAGCCAUCUUUCCUCGCUCAUGACUACAAGUUGCGCCUUGUCGCUCACAUAGACAACCUCCCGUAUCAAGAAGGCAUCCCGCUUGCUUCAAAUUGCGAGGAAAGCACUACAGAGAUUGCAACAUCAAGCUCUGGAAGCUACUACCCAAACAGAGAAAUUUUUGUCAUCACACAAAACAAUGAUGUGGGUACUAGCCAACAGAGAACCCCUCGAUGGAUAGCACAGCUCGACAACAUUUCAGAAGAUGAGUCAUCAGCUAACGCCCCGCAAGACGAAACUUCUGAAUAAAGAAACCAAAGAAGGCCACAUAAUGUUACUCGGGCUGAACAUUGACAACUACUAGCCACAAACAUCCCCAUCAUGAACCUUGAAAGAGCAUUUGACGCAGUACAAGCCCAAGAACACAACACUCCACUCGCAGCAAUUGCCUCAAUCAAUAUUAUACCAACUCUCAUACCUCAUGACAGAGAUAAUGAAUUAACAACUCAACUCGCGCAGCGAGGCAAUGGAUUAAUCGCGCAACUCGCAGAGCAAGCUUAUAAACUACUUGAUAAAGACUCGCCAAUCCCAUCUAUUCCUCACAACUCGGCCCAUUGAGAUGGCAGUAGGGGCAUCGCGGCCCACGCUAUCCAUCAUGAGGCUCAAAGAAACAAUAACGAGGUAGUCAACAAAACAAGGCAACAUAGCCAGGGACAAAGUGAACGUGAGGCCCCAAGAUGAAAUAAGGACGCUGGAGAUCCCAGCUGCACCAACUCUGCAAAAAGCCCUCGCCAUGGCAGAAAGAAUCAUGAGGCAUCAAUUUUCAGUGAUUUAAGGGAAGUAAUCAACAGUCGUCGCGAACGCGAACGCGAAGUCGACAACUAUAACCAUUUUUCUGCUUUCACCACACGGGUAACGAGGACUAGGCUACCCGAAAAGUUCAAGCCAACAGGAAUCACUAAGUACGAUGGCAAGCAGGACCCAGUUCAAUGGCUCCGGUGUUACUCGCUGGCAGUUCAGGCAGCCGGAGGUAACGACGACACAAAGGUCAUCCAUUUUCCCAUAUGAACCCGCGCCUCUAACAUGUCUUGAGUCACUCAAACCUAGAACAAUUGACUCUUGGAAAGAUUUGAUAAAGGUUUUUACCAAUAACUACGCGGGCUCCAUGUCCCGACCAGGCAAUAAGAUUGAUCUAAGUCAAGUCAAAAAAAAAGAAGGCGAGACACUACGCGACUACCUACAUCAAUUCUUCGAAAAAAAGGCUAUAAUAGUCGACAUCUCAGAAACAGACGUUAUCGAGUUCUUUCAAAAUGGCCUCUAUGAUCGUCGAACAUACCAAUACUUUGGCAAACGACGACCAGUCACCAUCAAAGAUCUCAAAGUCAUGGUACAACAAUGGGCAGAUAAAUAAGAUAAAGAGCGUGAGCGAUUCGGCUCCCAUCGCAACUGCAGUCACGACAAUAACAACAGUCAUGAACAAGAUAGGAACCGAAAUACUAUACAUGAAACAAAUACUUGGGUAAUCCGAACCGCAAACGCAAAACCGACAACACUGUUGCUACCAUGACCAACUCAGGGAAGAAAGGAUCUCGCAAACGCGACGAGGGACCUACCUUCACCGAGUUACUCAAGAAGCAAUGCACAUGGCACCCAAACAGCAAACAUUCAGCGAUAGAUUGCUACAGCAUGCGCCGAGUAAUGCAAGAUAUACCCGCACCACCACCUCCCGAAGAAUAUAGUCAGAAAAAGGAUAAGGCAAAAACAAAAUUGAUAAGGAUGAAGAAGAUGAGGGAGAUUUUCAAACCGCCUCCAAGACAGUCAACGUCAUUUUUGGCGAAAUCCCGAGUACCGCAUCCAAGCGGUCCAACAAGCUAGUACUUAGAGAAAUUUUGGCCAUUGAGUCAGUGGCUCCCACACCACUCAAAUGGUCUGAGGUACCCAUAACUUUCAGCAGAAAGGAUCAAUGGACAAGUUUCUCAGAACCAGGUCGAUUCCCUCUGGUACUCGACCCUGUUGUUGCAGGCUCAAGAUUGACAAAAGCACUCAUCGACGGCGGAAGCGGACUCAAUGUCAUCUUCGUCAAAACUUUAAGAAAAAUGUGCCUUGACAUCACGGACAUGCUCACUCCAACGGACUCACUGUUUUACAGGAUUGUCCCAGGAAAUGCAGCCAUACCACUAGGCCAAGUUGUCCUGCCAGUAAGUUUCGGCACUAAGGAGCAUUACCGAACUAAGUACAUCAGAUUUGAAGUCGCCGACUUUGAAACUUCUUACCAUGCCAUACUCGGGAGACUAGCUUUGGCUAAGUUUAUAGCUAUAUGGCUAUACCACAUUACGUCAACUUGGUACUCAAGAUGCCAGGAUCCAAGGGAGAAUUAGCGCUACGCGGAGACCUAAGGCGAUCAUACGAAUGCGACACCUUGUACACAACAUCCCAACCCUUAAGAAGGUCGACGGUUUGGCACGGGUAUGAGAGAUAAUAAACUUGUGUGGCCUGUUGAGCCACAAUAUAGACAUCGUCUCCCGAUAAGAUGGAUGAUUGUCGAAUUUCGACUAGCCCAAGAUUAGGGGUCCGUCUCACUACUUCGGGAUCAAACCAAUGGCAUUUGAAUAUAACGGGAUUAAGAGGUUUGCAACCAUGAAACAUGAGUUUGUAUAUCUCUUCUAUUCUUUCGUAAUACUCAACCCCAUCUAAGCCUAGCAUAAAAACUCCGGUAUUUGUGGUUCUUUGAUUGGGCCGACUCUGCUCGUGGCUUGUUGUGUGAAAGCGAUAUCCAUUCACGUCAUAAGCCAUAAAUGACCUGACCCUACAGGCACAACCAUCGCCAACCUGUCUCAACUCGGCACUCAUAGACGCAUCGGUUUGUCCCUACAAGUUCAAGCAGGGUAGUUUGUUAUAUUAGUUACACAUACGAGCAACUUGUAAUGUCAAAAUAAGUACGAGCCAAAUUGGACAGUACCUUCUGUUUGAACCAAGAAAUGAAAUCGGGCAUUCCAUUUCCCGCAUCAUCUCUAAGAAGCGUCGAAGCUUCCUGCAGGGUAGGUUUCCUUGAUUCACACUAGAAUUGUUCAUGAAAUUCUCAAUACCAACGAGAAACAAGGGAGUUGGACACAAAUUUGUGACUACUUGAGAAAUAGUUUGUUGAGAACUUACAGCACAUACGGCUCCACUUUGGAUAGGUUGGUCAACACAUAUAGCAUAAUAGUGCACCACUCUUCAUGUUUCAAGAUCUUGUUAGUCGCACCACUUGCACUUCCUAGUUGCCCUCUAAAAAUGCUAAGGUUCGAUUCAUCUUCUAUGUUGCCAGCAUUGUAACGAGGGGGUGGAUUAUGCAUGCUAGGAAGGUUGUCAGCAUAGUAUUUUGUUGUGAAGUUUGACACCUCUUCCAAAAUGUAUGCCUCUGCUAUGGAUGCUUCAAUUUUGCAUUUAUUUUUACAUUUACUUCGAAGAACCUUUUGAAAUCUCUCAAUUGAAUAGCACCAACGGCCCUGCAUAGGUCCCCCCAUUCGUGCCUCAUACGGGAGGUGCAAAAUCAAAUGCUGCAUCGAAUUGAAGAAGCCGGGUGGAAAGAUCUUCUCCAACUUACAGAGUAACACAGGCGCCAUUCUUUCCAUGUCUGCAACCACAGUACGAGAUAACUCCUAAGCACAAAGCUGUCGGAAGAAAUUGCUCAACUCCGCUAGCACUAUCCAGACAUGCUCAGGGACAUAGCCUCGAACCAUCAUCGGCAAUAACUGCUCAAGCCAUAUAUGGUAGUCAUGACUCUUGAGCCCGUUGAUUCGCAAAGUAGCUAAAUUCACUCCCCUCUUCAGAUUCGCUGCAUACCCAUUAGGGAACAUUAACGUUUGGAACUAUUCUAGUACUUCCCUCCUUUGGGCCCUCGUCAGAACGAAAUCGGCCUUAGGCUUUCUCUAUGACUUCCCACCUUUGGGAGGCGCUAUGUCUAGCUUUGGUCUAUUGCGUAACCUCGCUUGAUCCACUCUAGCCUUAACAUUAUCCUUUGUCUUAUCAGGAAUGUCCAUGAUUGUGCCAAAAAUUGCCUCGGCGACAUUCUUUUCAGUAUGCAUUACAUCAAUGUUAUGUGGAAGAAGAAGGUCAUCAAAAUAGGGGAGGUUCCACAAGCUUGACUUGUGAGUCUAGGUACGUUGCUCACCAUAUCCCAGAAAACCAUCUCCUUGAGCAUUGACCUUGAGAGCAUCUAACUGAGCACGAACCGUGCAACCAAUCAUCAUCUGGGCUGCAGGGCCUUCAACUACUACAUCUUUCGUAAAGUUCUUCAUGUCUCGUCUGAAUGGAUGGUCAAGAGGGAGGAAUUGUCGAUGUUUGUCGAACAAAGAAAACUUGUCACCCUUCGUCAACCAAAUGAAUCUCAGAGACGCCUUGCAUACUGGGCAUGGGAACUUCCUUUGCUAAGUUCCUCCCUUUGCCGAGUGUUGUUUUUCUCUUUUGCUGAGUGCCAAAGUUUGUCGAGUGUUUAUGCACAUUUUUGCCGAGUGUAAGUCUUUGUCGAGUGUUUCCACUAACGGACACUCGGCAAACAUGGUAACGGAUGUGCACGCGCCACAUUCUUUACCGAGUGCCUCCCUUUGCCGAGUGUUUUUGUCCUCUUUUGCCGAGUGUUUGUGCACAUUUUUGCUAAGUGUUUUUUAAUCUGUUUACUGUGUGUCACAUUUUUUGCCGAGUGUUUUUGUGUUAGCACUUGGCAAAUAGCUUCUCUGCCGAGUGCCCGAUAAAAUACACUCAGCAAAGAACUAGGCACAUGGCAAACCCACAGUUUUUGGUAGUGACAUUGCACCCAAUGGAUCAACUCUGGCUCGUUAGUGAUGUGUUGUUUUGAUUUUUUUUUAGUUUACAGACGUUUGUAUGCAUCUAAAUAGAUAUCUAUACAUUUAGAAAAGUCAAAACAACCUAAAAUUUUGGACGAAGGGAGUAGAAAAAUUUAGAUCCAUGGCCAUAUAAACCAUUGUUAGAGAUCAAAACAAGUUUCAAGGGGACGAUAGGCUGAUUUACAGGCCUUGCGUCCAAGAGUUGUUUUGUCAUGAGUUUUAUCUAAGUUCUAAGCUGUAGGGUGUAGUUUUAUCUUAGUUCUAAGCCGUAAGGCACCCUACGACUAGUCAGUGAGUGAAAGGAUCUAGGAUGUUGACUAGAGGGAGGGUGAAUAGUCAAACCUGAAAAUUUUCACAACUUCGAAUAAUUUUAUCAACGAUUUCUGGAGUUUCUAGAAAUUGUUCCAAAAAUUCCACAACUUACGGAAUUUUUGGAGAAAUCUACGAAUUCUCCAUAGAAACAGAAUUUGAACUACGACCUUAUAAAAGACUUGUUCAAAAGUAAAUCGACGAAUAUAAGUUAAGCAAUAGGAUAUUCUAGGCCUUUGGCACAAGAUAGAAUAGCUGGAAACUUGCUAGAAAAAGUAUAUUGAGCACAAACCCUAGAAAUAUGUUCUAUACUUCAAUAUGAACAAAUUUAAGAACAACAAGCACAAGAGACAUAAGGAUUUAUUUACCGGAGUUCAGCUUCACACCUUGAAGUCUACGUCUCUAUUGAGGUCCCACGAAUGGUGGGUUUUUCACACCUAAGCCACUUUCCUCACUCUAGCGACCACAAAAAUCAAGCUAGAGUCACUUACUCAAUUGUCGGGGUAAUACAAACUUCCCGUAGGCAGCCACAAUCCUUGGAUGCUCCACAGGCAACGCCUAGCUAGCUAGGAGCCUGAAGCUCCAAGAGUAACAAAUGCGAAAUCACGAGCUUGACGAAGAACAAAAUGCUCAAGAGAUUGGAAAUCAACUCACUAGCACUCUCUCUUGCUCUCCCUUUGAAUCCCUCCUUAAAUCCCCCACCAAAUCUUCACCUAAAGGCUAAGAGGGGAGUGAAGAGGGGCUUCGAAUGUUUCUAAACGCUCAGGUCAAUGUUAGGUUGAGAGAAAUUGUGGGAGGGGGUAUUUAUACCCCUUCACCCUCGAACUAACCAUUGGGGUUUAAGUUCUGGAAUUUUUCAGAAUUUUUUACGGAAACUUUGAAACCCUCGGAUUCUUCUGGAACAAUUUCCGGAAAUCUUUGAACUUCCGGAAUUUUCCGGAGUACUUUCCGGAAACUCUGCAAACUCCAGAAUAUUCCGGAAGAAUCUCCAAAAAAUCCAGAGCUCUCAUGUUAGCACUAUUUUAAGUAUCCUCAUGUGAUGUGCAGGUGCAAAGGUGUCUCUUAUAGAUUGGUUAGAUCAUUUUAAGCAUUUUUUUCAACAUAAAGACCAAAGAUUACGCAUCCCUCUUAAUAGUGCGGCAUUCCAUAGUCAAAUUCAAAUCAAAAAUAAAUUUAACCUUCAAGGUAUACCUUUUAUCUAUUCAUUUCCUUUUUGAGGGGUUAAUGACAAGUGCCCCAAGUCCAUCAUUCCUUUUAAACCUACUUAUGCACUUGAAAUUUCAUUAGACACUUAAAGCUCGCGUCAUUAAUUCACCAAAACUCACUUAGGGAGCCAAGAUACUCUUCAGUGAGCCCUCGAAUCUUUAAGCGAGAGGUCUUAGGAAGUCACCCUUUGUGAAUGUGAGUAUUCAAUUGUCAAGUCAUCCCUCAUCGAGGGUUACAAGGUGGUAUUUAUAAGCCAAGGGGGAAGCCUAGUACGAAAGAUGAUCCUACCCCUUGAAUACAAGAUGUUGAUUAGGAGUUGACCGGGGUAAAAUUAUCCUAUACAAUAUUUACAAUACAAUAAUCAUCAGUAGAUCUUGUUAUGUGGGGUCACACAUACCAAGAGCGUGAGUUGGAAAGACUCCCGUACGAUGACUUCGGAGUCUUUCUUGAGGUUCCUCCUCUUGGCCAGCUCUUCCGGAACGCUCCCGAUACAACUCUCGGAUCAGGCUACAAGGAGCAUUUCUGAUCAGAGACCUUGGGAACGUCGCCUUCGGAGGUAGGACAGACAUCUCCAACAUUAGCUCCCCGGUCCCUUAGGGCAUGUAGAACCCACAUACAGUUUGUCGUCUAUAUGAUGAUGUCACACCAUAUAAAGACACCUAAAUAGACAGCGCGUACAACCCAUUGUCUGUUUGGUUGUCUGUUAAGUCUUUAAUGACCGCAUGUAGCCACGAUCAAUCGUAAAUAAGACUUGUGUAUACUACUGUGUUGCUUGUUGAAAAAAAGUAAGAUCAAGCAUAAAUAAGAUGAUCGUAGUUACACUAUCUUUUUGAAACAUGAAUAUAAAUGAUAUUCAAAUAUAUUUAUAUUAAUGUAAUAGAACAAAAUCCGAGAGUAAGCCUCUACGACGGCGUGCCCGACGUCCUGCAUAUGUACACAGCAGUUAUUCUUCAGUCCAUGUUCAGAGUUACAUCAUUUUAGACCUAUCGAACAUCUUCCACAUUGUUCAGAAUCCACAGCUGAUGGGAUGCCAAACUUACCAUGUUGUACUGGACCUUUAGAACAUCUAUAAAGGUUGGAGGCAGGUUGGGGAAUCUGGAUUUCAGAAGCUGCGCAAGAGUGUCGACUCUUUCGAUGCGCACCGACAUCUUGUCAAGUUCUGACGAACUAUCCUUCAUGAAGUUCCAGGAAUGCCGUCCUGGGGACUUCUUGCUCUUUUCCUCUAAAAUCCUUUGGUUCCAUGCAAACACUGCACCCUCCAACCGGUUUAUAGUCUCGAGCACACUAUGCUCAGUUUUCAAACUGAGAGAAACAAAGAUUUCCUCUAUAGGAAUAUACUCCGUGGUUAUAGCUUGAUACAAAUCUUCACCCAAGCUAGCUCUCCCAGACUGCAAAGACCAAAAAAAUAUUUACAGUGUUAUCAGAAUCUCAAUUCAACCACUGUUGAAUCAUUGUUGAACUACUAAAAGAGACUUCAGUCAUAUAUCAGAAAUCCAAUGGGGUUUAAAGGUCAACCAAAAUUUGCUAUAGCCUACAAAAUAGUCAAUAUCAGGACAGUCAGGAAGUUUAUCUCACCAAUCAUCACAAAUUAAGCAUCAAUAUUGAAAUUCCAAAACAUACUACUUUUCCUGAACUUGCAUGCCAACAAAAUCAGCAAGUGCUGCGGAAACCAUCAAGCUUACAGCCAGUACAAGAGUGAUGAACGGGGCCAGCGGGCCACUGAACGCCGGCGAGGCGCUGAAGUCGCUUCCGGCUUCGCUGAACAUGAGGCUGUACCCGUACGGUAGCGGCCUGUCCGGCAGCUCCGGUACGUCCAUGUCCCCCUCCAGCAUCCUCAACGCGUCGCCGAUGGUCGGCCGGAGCGCCACCAUCACGUGCGCGCACAAGAUCCCCACGAGCACGAACUUCUCCAUGACCCCGCUCCGGGGGCUCCCGAAGUCCGCCACGCGCGCGCAUCUCGCCGUAAUGCAGGUCCUUGUCCCUGUAGAUGAAGUCCUCGAGUGCGCCGUUGGGCAUGAAGUCGUAGACGAGGAACCUCUGCUUCCCUUCCUCGAUGUCGUCGGUGGCGAUGCAGCAGCCGCGGAGUGGCACCAGGUUCCGGUCCGGGUCCGGGUCCAGCAUCUUCUUGACGGCGACCACGGACCCAUCCGCUAGCACGCCGCGGUAGACGGCCCCGAACCCGCCACAGCCGACGAGGUUGCGCUCCGCGAAGCCAUUGGUGGCCUUGGCGAGCUCUGCGAAGGUCAAGCCGGCCAGAUCUACAGGUACAAGCAGGUGGGGAGGCAGCACCUGCGGCAAAUCGAGGAACGAUGACCCGGAUCUGCAGGUGAGCGGAGAUUCAAGCUGCCGCAGCUCCCUUUCCCCGUCUCCGAUCCAUUUUUCCGCCACCGCUUUGUUCUUCAGUUGCAUCGGUGGAGGAUUUGGUGCAAUCUCUGCUGUGAAACAGAGUGGGAAGCAGCCGAUCUCUCCGCACCAAAGCGCGCUCGUCACAGCGGAUCCGCCAGCGCCGUCGUCGAGAGGAGACGAUGCAUACAACACAUGUUUUACCGUUGGUUUCCUCUUGGAGCACGAGCGCUCGCCGUCGCCUCACGAGGCGACGAGGGCACCGUCUCCUCACCAUACGAGGGUGUUUUGUGAAAAAGUGGUAGGACGCAGAAGGCACUCGACAACCCGUUGUACGUGCCCUUAGACGCAUGAACAGAGCAUCUUAGAGCAUAUUAAAAAACAAAUUUCGACAUGUCCGACAUUCCUCGCACUCGGACGUCAUAACUUGGGUUCAGCAGGAGGCUGGUCUUACCGAAACCCGAAAGUCGAGACUUCGGGGGAAGUUCGUCCAUGCAAAAUACCUUAAAUUCUUUAACACGUUUAUCUACUACCUUAUAAUAAAGUUGCUGGUCUCGGCGUGCUCCGAGGGGCUUAGCUACAGACACUUACAUGUGGGACCCGUAACUCCAAUAUUUAAAAAAAGAAACUCAGAAGAACUGGAGACUUCCCUUCCAUCUUCCGACUAGACAAAGGCACCACAUGUGUCUCGCCUGUAUCUGAUUGCCGCCGCUAUAGUUUUCCAAAUGGGCCAGCCCCACUGGACGGCCCGAGGUCCGACACUAAAAAGCAUGGCACUAACACGGGCUCGGCACGAGGAGAAUAAUGCCAGGGCUGGCCCAACAUGAUGAUAGUGCUGGGCCUGGGCCGCCUCCUCGGCAUGUUGGGCCAGCACGGGCACGGCACAAUUAUCAGUCGGCCUGAUAGCGGCCCGUAUUAGGAAACCCUAGUGUAUAAACUAUUUUUUCUACCCCUCCCCAUCUUCCCCUACCCCGCCACACCCAGCCGCCUCCGACCUCCCUGCUCCCUACGUUCCACCUAGGUACCUAGCUUCCCUCUCCUCCCUCUGCCUCCCUCCGCCUCCCUAGCUCCCUCCGUCAGUCCAUCCCACCCAGCUCCACGACCUCGCCCCGCCCCUGGUGCUCCACGACCCCGUGCUCCGCCACCCUGGCGCCCGUCGCUGGGGCCACUGGAGACGCGCCUGCCGCCACGUGGGGCCGCCGCUGGGGCCGCAUGAGGCAAGCGGCUACCGCUGUGGGGGACCGUCGCCAGGGCCGCCUGGAGGGGCGCCCGCCGCUGGUGACGCAGAGGCGAGCCUGCCGUCGAUGGGACGGCCUGAAAGGGCACCCGCCACCGCGGAGGGGUCGCCUGGAGGCGCGCCCGCUGCCGCUGCGGGGCCCGUUGCUGCUGGUGCCUGGCCCGGCACUAGCACGGCAACGCCCGUCGUACCAUCGGGUCGGAUCAGCCCAAUAAAAAGAUCGUCGGGCCGGGCCUGGGCUGCCUCAUCGGCACGCAGUGCCCGCCUAGCCCGACACGAAAACCCUUCGGGCCUAUUAGUGCCGGGCCACAUCGGGCUAGUGCCGGGCUAGGGUCGGGCGGCCCAUUUGGAAAACUAUACCCGCCGCGUCCGUCCUCGCCAGAGUCCGGAGGACCAAGCCACCCGCUCAGUCCGCGCAUCGCCGAAAGCUUGGCGACGGAACGUCGCCCCGCCCCACCCAUAACACACCGGCCGCUCCGCCCAGGCCGCUUCACACCACCAGCUUCGACUCCGACCACCCUGUGCCGCUCCGUUUCGUCAGCCCCGCCUCGCCGCGCCGCCGCCGGCUACGAUUCCACCCAUGGACGCCACGCAGCGCUGCCUCGCCCAGCCCCACAGUGCUGCUCUGCACCCAGUCGUGCCAUUCCGCCGGCCCCACAACGUCGAGCCGCCACCGGUCGCCGUGCAGCAUUGCGUCGUCCGGCCCGCCACGCACCGACCAUGUUGGGAUCGCAAAAAAGCUAGUUACCCUCAAGCGUGUCUUCUUCAACAAGAGCUAGCUAGCCUUACAAGAUCAAGGUCAAUUGUACAAACUACGCUAACCUCGCAUCUUCUCUAUCAUUUUGAUCUCAAAGCUAAAGAUCACUUGCUCAUGGCUACGAUAUGAAAUGACUUACCCUCAAGCACUCAAAGUUAAUCUUGAGCACCAAGUCCUAAGGAGUUUCCAGGUUCGAGGCUAAGGAGUUUCCCAGCUCGAGGUUAAGGAGCUUACCGGCGCGAAGCUAAAGACAUGAAGGCGUAAAAAGCAUGACUACGCGUGAGAAGUGUAACCACUAGAAGGCGUGAGAAACGUGACUAUAGUGAGGUGUGAGAUGUGUGACUCUAUAGGAGAGUCCAAUUUGUACACGUUACCUACCUUAUGUACGGCAUAUUUUAGAAAUGUAGUGGGUGAGAAAGGAUAUUUAUAGUAUGUAAAAUGACGUCCGAAUCAUUGUAAAAGGGAACUCCUACCCGUUGUAAAGGAAGGAUAAGUUUUGAACGAGAUCACAAGUGCUUUUCCUAUUUCAUCCGUUGUAGCGUGUUUGAGAUUUGAGAUUUGCUUCCCAAAAGACCGUCCCGUCCGUCCCUGGUCGUCCCGCACACCUAGCCCGUGCAGCCCCGUUCCGGAGCUCUGGGGUCCACAAGGCGCCGCCCGCUCGGCGGCGACGCGCCACGCCACCGGCCGCAUCCUUCUCGCUGGCUACAGGCUCGAGCGGCUAAGGGGAGGAGACAACCAACGGCAACGAGAAGGCCCAGCCUCAGGGCGGAGGCAACCAGCGGGGAGACCACUUGGCUGGCCGCACCGGUUGCGCUGGACCACGGCAACCACUGGGCGGCCGGCUCGCUCCACCCGCCUGCUCGACCGCUAACCCGCGCCGCCGGCUGCUCGCGGCCGCAUGCGCCGCCCGGUGGGGGAUGGGAGAGCACAUCAGCAACCGCAGGGCGGCCGUCAACACCGCUUGGAUAUUGGCAGCUCUGCGGCGCGAGAAUCACCGAAUCGGGCCACCGGCGUCGGCUGUGCCGCGCUGCUUCAAUGCUUCCACGGUUCCACCGACGACCUUCAAGAGCAGUCUGCCACCUUGCCCUCUCACAGCCCAUGCUGCCCUCUGGAGCAAUCAGCAGCCGUGGCUUCGGGCUCCCCAAGCCCAACGAUGACCUUGUAGCUACAGGCAAGACCGCAAUCUGCAGGAAUCAGAUCACUCUCCUAGUCUCCAUGCUUUGUUGGAGAGAGAGAACAAUACGAGAGGCAGGAGAUGGUCAUGGCCUCGUGGGACAUGGGGAUGAGGAUGACCGCAUAGCGAGUAGCAACAAUGAAAAGAUAAGGGCACGGUGCACUUAAAAAAGAAGAAGAAGAAAAUAUAGCAUUACUAGCGGCGGCCGUUUAGGCUCCUUCCUCACUAGCUUUUUACAAAACAGGUAGGUUUUCUUUAUUGAUUACAACAUAAGUAUAUAUUAAGCAAAACAAAGAAAAUUUCUACAAAAGAAAAGAUAGAGAGAAUAAAAUAAAAUUAUAGCAGAAUAUAUAGCCGUUGUUCUAUGAUGGGAAAAUAGAGUUUCUUUACUAAAAAAUAAUCAGGAUAAAUAAAUGCUUGAAAGUCUAUUUUUUCAUCUAGAGGACCGGCAUGAAUUCGAUUUUGGGUUUCAUUUUGAUUUGUUUUCUUAAUUUUAUUCAAUACUCAAUGCUAUAUUACAUAUUUUGAGUGCAGUAGCAUAAUUCUUUUGGUUAUUGCUUCAAGUUGAUAUUUUUUAAAUGUACUGAAGCUUCAAUGUUUGGAGCCUCUCAUGCUUCCUGACUCCACAUAGGACCCACAUAUUAUUCAAGUGGAACCCAUAUAGGAUCCGCACACUAUUCGGAUGGGAUCCACCAUUCAAGUGGGACUCACAAACUUUUCAGUAGGACCUGGAUAUUGUUUGGUGGGACAUACAGUACCAUUGAGUGGGUCACCCAUGGCUCCCAUGGUCUUUUUUUUUUAAAUUAUCGAUGGCGGUUUUUUCUAUUAUUUGCAAUUAUAUUGUAUGGAAAGUAUAAAAUAUAUUUAAUUAUUUUCUAUGUAUUAAAAAUAACUAAAAUUUGCAUACUACAUUCACAUGCGGUAGCCGUACUAUUUUUUGGACUUCGCUUUCACUUCAUAAACUCGCAAAUAUGAUAGAAUUAUUCAUCCAUUGCUAAUUUUAUCUUUUACCUCUAUCAAAACCAAGAAUCAGCGUAACAUACCACGUCAAUCCGUCAACUAUACUAAUAACGCCCAAAAGUCAAUCCGUCAACUAUACUAAUAACGCCCAAAAGUCAGUAAAUUCCUAAGGAAAAAAAGUUAUGCAUGACCAUUAUGAUAAAAAAUGGUUUGAAUUAAAUAUUGAAUGCGAUCAAUUUGGUGUUGUAUUAUGUUUUAUUUAUUUAUUUGGUUCAAUGCAUCGUUGUGAUGCUACUUUGAGCAUAGUAAGAUAAUAAAUUCGUAUUUCAUUAUUUUUUUGAGGUUAACAUAUUUUGUGUAGGCGCGCAUCGCGCGCCAACGUGACUAGUUGUCUUUAAACUGCAAGCAGAUAAAAACCCAGGGUGGCUCGAGCUCCUCCGGCAGCCUUUUUUUUUUUUUUUGAGAAACCGGGUGGCAUUUCCUUUAUUGAUAUAAACGUUUACAUUCACUGAAAAAAAAAAAGAAAAUUACACCCAAGUCCUUGUAAGGCUUUCCCGGUCAUCUUCGAUGCUGGCAACCGGAGCCACCGCUCGACGCACCAUCCCUGGAAGAGAGGAACACCGAACUUGCAACUUGAAGCCGAAUCCCAGCUCGACGAAGAUGCUCUGGAGGGACGCAACCGCGCAUAGGGUAGAUAAAACGUACCAAAUCGCUUGAGGAACUGCGCUGGGGGUCGCCACCAGAGGUGACCAAGCUGAAACCGACGCAGCAUUCUCGAAUGACUGGUACGGAGCAAGAAUCCCCAUCGAAGGAAACCCAAUCGAUGAGGAUAGAACUAAUCCUAACCUACACAAACCUAAUCUAACAGGAGAGGAUAUGUAGAUCCGGCGUCUCCCCUUCACCUCCGGCACCGAAGCGGCCACCGGAGGCGAGGAGGCACCGGAAGCGAAAUCGCCUCUGUCGGGCCCACGAGAGCACAAGCCCACGAGACACCUGCACUCGUCGUGGGAAUCGUUGGGCAGGCCCAUUCCGCUCGGCUGACUCCCUGCACCCGCCGCCGCCAGGAGACUUGUCUCCUUCCUUCGACUACCGCUGGUCCGGUAAGGUGAGCUCCGUCCGACUCCUUCUUGCUUUUCUCUCCUCCUGUGCUGCAGGUCACGAGGAUGGUGCAGCCACCCUGUGCGCUCGGUCCGGCGGCGGUAGGCUAUGGAAUGAUAGAAUCCGAUUGUGCUCGCCUACCGCCUCGUACGCCCUUUGUUUAACCUUUCCUUCUGCAGAAGCUCGCAACUUUCGAGCGAUUCGUAGCUGCGUAACCAACACGACCUGCGCCAUGGAUUCUUCCUCCACUUUACUUCUAAAUGCUGUACAGCAGCAACAAACCAGAGCUAGGAAAACUCGUGGCAAAGCAGAGGGGUCCGAUGCGCGGAGCGGCGGGGCAGAGCCGGCGGCGACCCGCCCCCGGCGAGAGCUCCUCCCUAGUCCCUACGGCCGCACUGCCAGAUACGAAAAGUCCGAGAGUCCGAUCAUCAAGCGCCACAUUUUUAUGAUUCGAAAGUUUUUCAUGGGCUACCCUGAAACUCAACCGGAGCAAGAAAAAAGAAAGACAAAUAACUAACGAAAGCAACGCGCAUGGAUGAUGUAUGGACGGACUCAGGGCCACGCACACUCAGCGCUUGCUUGGCUCCUAAUGCUAUUUCAAUCGCUUUCAACCUGUUCCUGGUUAAGCAAUGUAUAGAAGAACAGGUUCACUGAGUUUACAGUGGUAAUUACAUUGCUCAGGAAAUGCUGCUGGGCAGCCUUUGCUGUGACUGCCAAGACUGCACAUGCCUGACAUGUCAUUUCCGGCUACUGCUGACGAUGGAGCAGUGUAGAUGGAGCUUAUGGAUCAUGGAUUAAAUGCAGCGACACUAGCAAGCGUUACUUAGCUCCUAAUGCUGUUUCAAUCACUUUUGGCGUGUUCUUAAGCUGAGUCGAGCUGCAGACUUGCCAAAGCGUUGGUUACUCGAUUAGUUAAUCUUUAGUCCGGACUAAAAUUCAUGUCACAUCGAAUAUUUGAGGUUAAUUAGGAAGAUUAAAUAUGAGCUAAUUAUAAAAUUAAUUAUACAGAGGGAGGGUAAUUCACGAGAUGAAUUUAUUAAGCCUAAUUAAUCCAUCAUUAGCACAUGUUUACAGUAGCAUCACAUUGUCAAAUCAUGGACUAAUUAGGCUUAAUAGAUUCGUCUCGCAAAUUAGUCCCGUGCAAUUGAUUUUAUAAUUAGUCUAUAUUUAAUACUUCUAAUUAGUAUCUAAACAUUUGAUGUGACUAAAGAAACAAACACCCUUAGUCGUUCACAGUAGCAAUUACACUAUACACUGUAACUUGCUGCUGUAACUACCAACGCUGUGCAUGUAUGCAUGGUUUCCUUUACUGCCUGACAAUAUCAGUGGUCCAUGGAUGCAUGGCUCAAAGUACCUUUCACCUUUUUUUCUUAACACUGAUGAACCCUUACCAUUUCAGAUGAAAUCUGAGCCACAUGAUGCUGCUGUCAUGUGUGGACAUGCCCAAAGGUUUACGCCGUAACAGACCCCACUGAAAAAUUGAACACUAGAGCCACUCUGGUUUGAACUCAGUAUCUGCUCUGCUUAACAAAUGCAACCUACCUCAUCCUGUAACUGUCCUUUCUAGUUUCUCACUAACUGCAUUAUUAAGCAUACAGAACACCAUGAAUCAGGCUAGUACAGAUAAAAACGACACAGCUGGAGGCCCCCAAAGACAUAAAUGAUUACUCGAUGUACACAUGUUUUUAGUUUUGCACAUGGAGAUGACAACGAAAAUGCUCUUGGAUUAAUCUUUAGCUAGUUUCUAGGGAUCGCCAUGAUUAGAGUGGGACUAAUCACUAGCCUGUACAAUAGGAUUCCCCUAUCUCAAAUCUGUACUUCCCCACUCACCAAAGCAUGGCCCAGACUUGGAAUUAGGUUGUUGGCAUCAAACUUGGUCUCCAUUGUAAUUCGAAAGACUCAUGUAUGUGAUUUGCGAGAUCUGUAACCUACCUAUUUGGAUCCGAUUAUGGAUUAUGAAAAUCUAGAUUCUGGAUGGAUUCUCAAAAUCUAGAUUUUGGGCAAAAUCUGGGUAGACUUGUUUGGAUUCCUAUAUUCCAAAAUCUGAUUUUUAUGGUUGUUUGUUGCAUGCCUUCUUUUGCCCUUCGUACCAUUUCAUGUCCAACAUGCUGCUGCUCAAUAUCAGUCAAGGAGACAAACAAAUGAUCCGAAGUGCAUGAAUGCAACGGCCUAACGGUUCACACAUACAUAAUAUUUGUCAAUACAAACACCCUCUCACAUUACACUCUUCAUAAGGAAACAAAACAUUUGCUAUAGAAUCUCGUUUAGUUUGUCUCCUCAGUUUUUACUCGUUUAGUUUGUCUUGUCGGUUCACAUUGUUUGUAUCCUUUUUGCUGCCUGACGUCUCAUUUCCUGAAAUCCCAGCAUGCCUCAAAGUCUCUUUCCUCUUCUUUUUCUUGGUAAAGAAAAAUAAGGCAGCUAAUGGAUUGAUGUUUAUCGUUUUAGGAGAAAUCUGGGCCACAGACUGCUGCUAGUUGCUACUAUGAUACUACAGCGUAAAUGACACCUUCCCUAUCUUAUCUUACUGUCACAUAAAUGUCACCAUCCCUAUCUUACAGUUACAUCAGUAAAACCUAGUCGUGUGCUGAAAAAUUCAUGCAACACCUGAACAAACUAGUUGUUCACCGUAAACUAAAACAGAUAAACCCUGCUCCUCAACUUAAAAACUCUGUAGACUUUCGAACUACUCAAUACUGAUUUUUCUUUUUGAGGAAACACUGCCUGCAUUGCUAAUCAGGUAAUGCAGCUAGCUUUAUCACUUAUCACUGCUACUGCUGGAAGAUGGAUCAGAGUAGAUUAACAAGACAACUGGAAACCCCAAUGAUAUGAAGAAUAAUUCCAUAUUUCCAUGUACAGAUGUUUUCCACAUGAGCACAUGGCCACAUGGAGAAGACAGCACACACAAUCUUAUGGAUUACCCCAGGUUUUACCGAUAUUUACCGAUGAACUUUCAGGUUUAUGAACAAUUAAACGAGGAACAGAACAAAGAUUCAACCCAAAAAAAACAUAGUGCUCCCUCCAUUUUUAAAUAUAUGACACUGUUGACUUUUUACUCUAACUUUGACCACCAAUAUCUAUUGAACGAGUUAGUUAAUUAAAGUAAAAUGUGUAUUAUUAUGUCUAUUGUCAAAUGUACUCUAGAUUUAACUUGUAGGUUUAUUUAUUUACAAAAAUAUUUGUAGAAAGACGAAUAAUCAAAUGAAUAAAAAAAUCAACGAUAUCAUAUAUUUAAGAACGGAGGAAGUAUAUAUAUGAACCGAGACUAGUUAACCCACUCUCUAAAUUGCCGCACCCUUUUUACCUCUGUACUUCUCCAUACCACCCUUUAUUGCAAUCCUUCUCCCUUGUUUCCGGUAUGCACACACACACGUAACAAGCCGACCUACCUCGAUCGAAUUAUGGCAGGCUAACCUGACGUGUCAUUACUGACUCGAAGCAUCCUGAUUCACAGACGACAGCGCUCAGCUUGGCGCCGUCAAAGUCCCGCAAUAUGGACCAAAAAUUGUGGAGCAAUGGAUGAGUUCAAAGUUCUGAGGUUUGGCGCUGAUUCCAUGACUACCAUCAGCACCUCAAAUGUGGCUGGGUCCUGCGGCGACUGUCUCUGUGGCUCCUCCGAUAAUGUCGCAGCCAAAACCGUUGUGGAAUGUGGCUCCAGGAUAAUUUUUUUUUUUAAAAUACGCAGGAGAGCUGCGUAUUUUUGUAUUAAGAAGGAAAAUAAAGUUUAACGUUACAAUACGGGUCAAUAGGGUACACGGACACGGUUUGUCACUUUUCAACAAUUAUACAAGAACAGAAAGAACCGAAUGAACAUGAUAAGAAGCAAAUUAGGAGCUAUCUCUGUCCUGGCACUCCUACUACCGCCGGCCAACCUAAGAUAGAAAGAUGUUUGGCACCGGCACUGCACCAUAGCUGAGCUUCUUCUGAAAUUUCGCGAACCAGUCGUCCAGGAGCUUUCGCAGGCGAUCUGUCGAACACCCUGUUAUUGCGUUCCUUCCAAAUUUUCCACGAGAUUAGCAUGAAGGUAGAGUCCAAUCCUCUCUUUUUCAGGCUGUUCAUUUCCCUUCGCUUCUGAAGCCACCAGUCAAUCAGGAGAGCCUCCUGGGUUGGAACUUGGUUCUGGAUGUUCAGAAGGCUGCUAAUGUCGUGCCAAACCUGUUGUUCGCACAGCGCACAGGAUGUCUGAUCUUGCAACCCCCGCCGGUGUCUCCUUUCCGUUGUCCAUAAUCGAUCCUUGAUCGCCAGCCACAUGAAGAACUUGACCUUCAGAGGUGCCCACGCUCUCCAGAUGGGCUUUGCUGCUGCAAAUUUUGUUGCGCCUUGGAAGAAUACUCUAUAAGCCGAUCUAGCGGAGCAGUUGCAUGAGAAGUCCCAUCUCCAAGAGACAAUAUCCUCUACUCCUGCAGUCAGUUGAAUCCCUUCCACCGCAUGCCAGAGAUCAACAUACUGUGAAACGGCAGUUUGUUACCCAUCUGACAAUAUCGCGGAUCCACUGUUUUUCCUGGAGCGCUUCUGCCACCGUUCUCCUCUUUCUGAUUCUCGGCAUGAUUAGCUUGCAAAGUUCUGGGGCAAUGAUACAUGGAGAUGGCUGCUCAAACCAUCUGUCUAUCCAAAAUAGUGCCAGGUUCCCAUCUCCUAACUGUACGUCAAUGGACACCUGAAACAUCUGUUGGAGAACUGAAUCAUGUCCAAAAUCCAUUUGCAGGUGUUUCCAAGGCCUAUUAGAAUCAAUCCGUUGCAGCCAUAGCCAUCUCAUUCUUAGAGCGAAAGAGGCAAUGCGGAGAUCAGUAAUACCCAGCCCUCCAAAUUCGGUUGGUCUGCAAGCUGUAUUCCAAGCAACCAGACACUGUCCACCAUGUGCUUUCUCUUUUCCAGCCCAGAGGAAGCCUCGGCGCCGUUUGUCUAUCUCUUGGAAUACCCAAUCCGGAAUUUUCAGAGAAAUCAACAUAUGAAUGCAGAUCGAGCUCAUGAUCACUUUAACUGUUGUCAGUCUGCCGGCUUUGUUCAUCAGAGGUACUUUCCAGGUUGGAAUGCUGGCAGAUACUUUGUCAACCAAUGGCUGCGGAUGAGCUUUCUUAAGACGUCCAACCGUCAAUGGCAGCCCCAAGUACUGGAUUAGAAAUUCAGUUACCCAUGCUGGCAGGAUGUGCCUGAUCCGGUUGACCUGUUCUUCUAUGCAAGCUAUCGGCGCGAUCAGACUUUUUCAGCAGAUUUGUAUGGAGCCCCGAGGCAUACCCAAAGAAUAGCAACACCUCUCUGAUUGUUAUCAUAUCCUGAACUUGUCGAGCUGCAAACAGCAUAAUAUCGUCGGCGUAGAUGGAGCACUGGUGAUGAAUGGCUGGGUCCGCAGGCGCUGAUAGCACUCCAUCUUGAACCGCUUUUCUAAUCAGGCGAUGCAAGACUUCCAUAAGGAGUAUGAACAACAUCGGGGAUAAUGGGUCACCCUGACUUAAACCCCUUGCAUUGUGAAUGAGACAUCCUGGAGCUCCGUUCAAAAUCACUCUUGUUGAUGCCAUGGAGAUCAAAGCUGCUAUCCAAUCACGCCAUUUGACUCCAAAGCCCAUGGCCUGCAGCACCUGAAGCAAGAAGGGCUAGCAGACUGUAUCGAAGGAUUUGGAUAUGUCAAGCUUGAGCAGAAGCGAAGCCUUCUUCUUGCGGUGCAGAGUUUUGGCCGCCUAUUCCACAAAUUUGAAAUUGUCAUGUACUGAGCGUUUUUCGAUGAAGGCACUUUGAUUAACAUCGAUGAGAUGAUCAAGUUCAGGAGCCAGACGGUUGGCUAGGAGCUUUGCGACAAUCUUGGCGAAGCUAUGAAUCAGACUGAUUGGUCUGUAAUCGCCCGGCGUUCUGGGCUCCUAUCCUUUGGGCAACAACGUGAUGAGAGCUCCAUUCAACCGGUGCAGCUGUCCACAAUUGCCUCUGUAGACGGCGUUGAAGGCUGCCAGGAUAUCCAUCUUGAUCACCGGCCAUGCUGACUUGUAGAAUUCAGCGGUGAACCCGUCAGGCCCCGGCGAUUUCUCACUGGGGAGUGAUUUGAUAGUGUUCCAUACUUCUUCCUCGGAGAAAGGCGCCUCCAAAUGCUCAAGGUUAGCCGGCUGAAUGUCCAAGGCAAGGAGAUCAAUAACCUCGCUUCUGUGCGUGGCUGUGCCCAGAAUGUCUUUGAAAUAACUGUAGAGCACUUCCUCUUUCUCCUCCUGUGUGAAUGCCAUGCCUCCUUCAUGCUCCAGUUUUGCAAUGAACUGCUUUGUGCGGUGACUGGACUGAAUGUGAAAUAGCCUAGUGUUGGCAUCGCCGUCUCGCAGAUAAAUUAUUCUUAAGUGCAACCGUGCCAUAGUUCUUUCUAGCGAUGAUAAGCCCAGAACUUUGCACUUGAGUUCUCUUCUCAGUUGGAUUUCGUCCUGAGUGAGCUGUCUUUCUUCUUGCACCCUGUCAAGCCAUAAGAUUAAAGUUUUGGCAACAAGCAAUUGGGUCUUUAUCUGCCAUACGUUGCGCUGACUCCAGCUUUGGAGCUCCCUAGCUGUGUUCUUAAGCUUGACAUCAAUCCUGGUGAAUGGAUCAGAGAUCGUUCGAGGACAUGUCCAUCCCUUUUGGACAGCGUCGAUGUAACCAAGUAGCUUUAGCCACAUAACCUCAAAGUGAAAGCAUCUCUUGACACGGAAUGCUGCAUUGGUUGCUAGGUGUAAUGGGCAGUGAUCAGAUAUAUCUGACGAGAGAGCCUGUAAGAAGCAAUAUGGAAAACUCAUCUCCCAUUCGAUAGUAACUAGAAUCCUGUCUAAUUUUUCCAUUGUUGGGUUAGCUCUCUCGUUGCUCCAAGUGUAGCGACGGCCAUGGAGAUAGACAUCCUUUAGAUGCAGCUCGUCCACGAACCUCCGAAAUCUCCCCAAGUUUCUAUGAUUGAUGUUGUCGUUGUUCUUGUCUGCGGCGUCGAGGAUGAGAUUGAAAUCCCCGGCAAUCAUCCAUGGGCACGCGACGCGACUUUGAACUGAACGAAGCUCAUCAAGGAACUCGAUUUUAUCAGUGUAUGGCAGCGGUCCAUAGACGGCAGUGAGACACCAAGGCUCGGAGGAGGCGCCCAUUGUGAAAGUGACAGUGACGGAGAACUGUCCAAUGUGCAACGUCGAACAAACAAUUUCAGGUCCCCUGCAAGCGAUCAGGAUCCCUCCACUAGCACCGGCAGACGGCAAGUAGGCAAAGCUCGAGAACCUGUUCCCGAGCAUUUCACAGACAAGAAACGGAGAGAUUACAUCAAGUUUUGUUUCCUAGAUACACAUAAUGGAUGCGUGGAAACGGAGAGAUUACAUCAAGUUUUGUUUCCUAGAUACACAUAAUGGAUGCGUUCGUGUCGCUCACGACCGCACGCAACGAAUCUCUAUGACACCUCGCGUUCAACCCACGGAUGUUCCACACAAGAAUGUUGUGGUUGCCAAGGUCCAUGGUGCUUGACGAAAGUUAGCAAUGGUGUUGCACCUCAGCAAGCGGUGUCUGAGCCGCCCACCUGGCUAGCGAUCUGCAGGAGCUCAUCGUCAGAGAGAUUGUUAGCUGCUGGGAAGAUAUCUCAAAGGGCUGCAAAAUGGCGCGGCUGCAUAGUCGUCGCUAAGAACUUGUGAAACUCCUUGGUAGUCACUCGCUCAUCUUCCUCAUCACGAGUGAUGAUCCCCAAUUUUCUCAUUGCCAGCACCUCUCCCUUCUUCGAUGGUCUGAUAGUCGUGUUAAGGGGUUGGCUCACCAAUCUGCCGCUGCGCCUUCGUGUCGGUGCCGUCCCGGUAGUAGCACCUUUCGUUGGUGGCCUGGCUGCAAGCGGUGCCUGAAGUGUGAGUCGCACACUGCUAAGAAAUGCAGUUGUUUUCGCAUUUGCCGCAGUUGAACCAGAGGUAGUUGAUGGGGAGGUUGAUGGUGGCACCAUCGCCGCUGGCGCUCUUGCUUUCUUGUGUGCGGCCUGCUGUGCCUUGGCGGCCCUUCCUCCAGAGCUGGGUUGCCCCAUCUUGGGUCUUGAUGCGCUAGGCCCAAAUGCCGUGGUGGAGCACCGCCUGGCCACUGGCGUCCAAGGCUCGCCGUGGUCCUCCUGGCCAAACUAGAGCCUAGUCGGAGCUAGCAGGCUGUCCCCGGCGUCCCUAGUGAGUCCCGUCUGGUUCCUUGAGCGGCGACAGUAAGUGCGGACUGCUGACGAUGGCUGUGCUGGCAUCGGCGUGCCGCUGGGCGGGUGGAGACCCAAAUUUGAAUUGGGUGGGAGAGUGGACUCGAUCAGCAUUGGAUCGGCGGCUUGUUCCACGUGGCAGCAUUGCAUUGGCAGCAACUCUUGUUGGGGUGAUAUCUGUGCAGGUGCUGGUGGUUGCGCUAACCGACGGCGCCGUCAUCCCUGGCGGCGGCUGAGGUGCAGCGCAUAGCAAACGAACUCCUGAGAGCGCACCUCCAGCUGGCGUGUCGCCGCUCCCAUCCUCGACCCCAUCCUGCGUGAAGAAUCCAUGAAGGCAUGGACCAACCCCCCCGGACUCCCCGUAGCCUCAGUCCGGAUUGCCGUGAUGUCCCGAGUCGCCAUCAUGGAAGGCGGUGACGGGGCCGGCGAUGGCGAAGGUGAAUGUGAAUGGAAAUCCGCCACGUGCCGCAGAUGGACGAGGGCCUUGUAGGAUAGGACCUUCUUAUGGCGCAGGUAUGGAGGGAAGUUGCCAAAGAUUAGCUGCAUGUCCGGGUCGUCAUAGACGAUCUGCUGCCCAUGUUCCGCGAUGAGGAUGUUCUUCCUUCUUGGGAUCCUGCUCGGGUCAUCCGUCCAUGCCGUGAUCUUCAUCUUGGACAUGUCUGAGCAUUCCUCGGUUGCCGGCUCAAUGCGCUCGAUCUAGCACGAUGACGAGAGGAGCUUCCUCGCGGUGCGCCAGCUCCAAGCGUGUGCCGGGACACCUUCAAUCUCCAGAGAUGCCCUGAACUGAAGUGUCCCCGUUUCAGUCGGACUAGACAAGUCCAAGGUCUGAAGAAGAGCCUCACGUCGCCAAUGGGGACGCUCCCAGCUCAAGAUGGCAAUGGGUACCCGCGACCCGAUACCCGACGGGUAUUUACUCCAUUAGGGUCUGAAUAUGGACUAGAUACACUACCCACGGGUACGUAAAUGGACCAAACCCUUCACCCAUCGAGUACGCGGGUAUGGGUAUGUUCCAGCAGUCCCCAUACCCGUUAACCCAUGGGUGAAAAAUACCCGGCCUAAAAUAAAAUAGCCCACCAGCAGCCCAUGUAAAACACUAGGUUCCCCAACACCCCAACCCUCUCCCAACCGGCCAACCCUAUCCCAAUUCCCACCCACCUCAGCCGCAACGUCUGGUCUCCCGAGAAAAAAAACAACACCGCCGCCCGUCGCAAAAAUCAACGCCUGGCGCCCGACCCCUCGUCUCGCUGACGGCUGGCAUCGCAUCCAAGCGCCAGGAAGACGCCACCGCCACAUCCGACCCCCCAACCCCCCCUGAUGCCACGCCAUGCCGGCGACGGAGCAAGAACGGUGAUCCUCAUUCCCCAAUUCCCAGUUCCCCUUCCCCUAAUUCCCUUCAUAUGCUUUGCACUUGUACUUGCAGGCGAUGGCGCAGAGGCGCUCCGCGCGACCGUGCUCCUUGCCUUUGCCUCCUUCUCCCCCGCACUAUUUCACUAACCAGCUCCUUCACUCUAGCGUCAAAGGAACAUCGCGGAGCUCCUAGAGGAUGGUGACCACUUGAAUCCACCGGAUCCCGAGCUCGUCGACGCUGGGAACACUUUGAAGCUGCAAGAUCCGGAGGUCCAAGCUGCAGUCGCCGGCAGCGCUCCUACAGCGGAGCCGAAGAUCGGCGUUGGUGCCGUCGCCACCAGUGCUCCUGCAUCCAAGCCCAAGAACGGGAACGGCGCCGCUCCUAAAACCAAGCCCAAGAACACCACCACCAAGGAGAAGAAAAGGACCGGAGCUACUGCGGGCGUGGAGAAGACGAAGCAAAAGGACGGCCGGCCCCCUCUUUCUCCGGCUUCAUCUCGGGAAGGUGCUGCUGCAGCCACAUCUUCAGGUGGUGUAAUAACUAAUUCUUGCCCUCUUGGUGCUAGCCGCAAGUUGCUGCAGCCACUGAUGUAAGUAACCCAAGAGCUACAUGCCUAUGCUAAGCGAGCUACAUGCUUGUAAUUUGAUACAUGACCUAAAUUCCUAAUUCAGUUGGUUAAUACUUGUGAGUUGUGCUGCUUGAGCAGAAUUUUUUAUAGCAGAACUUGAGUAACUGAUAGUCUGAUAGUUAUAAAUUUGAAAGAACACUAGUGUUGGUAGAUGAGUUUGGUGUAUAUGCAGUUAUGCACAGUUGCAAACAUAACAUCUGUUAUGUUUGAUAAUUGUUAUCUCAUUAGUUAUUCGUAAGGACUAAGGAUGUGGUUUGUAAAACUCAUUAGUGUAGUUAUUAUUUGUCAACGUCAGAUAAAUAUUUUUCAAGAAGUAGCUUACUCUGCUUUACUUGUAAAACUCAUUAGUCAUUAGUAUAAUAAUUAUUAUUUCUUCUAUUGAAUGUGCCUUAUUAUGUGAUACAGAUUGAAAAAAAUGAGUACUAGCAGUGAAGGUGAAUGCUCACAAACUGCAGUUCAUAUGUCAGAGCCUAUUGAAAUAGAAGAUGAUGAAGAUCCUAUUGAAGAAGAUAAAGAUGGUCCUGCUAGUGGUGCAAAGAGGAAUCUCACCUCAGCGGUUUGGAAUGAGUUUAAGAGAGUUAGGUACAUGGGCACAACAAAGGCAAAGUGCAUGUAUUGUUUCAAGAAGCUAUCAGGUGAAACAAACCAUGGAACUAAGCACUUACAUGAUCAUUUGAAGUCGUGUACACUUAGAAAGAUCAAGACAGCAGGGAACAAGAGUUUGUCACAAUCUUGUUUGAGGUUUGGUUCCACUGAAUCAGGUACCGUUCAAGUUGAAAACUACACAUUUGACCAAGAAGUAGCUAGAAAGGAACUUGCUGCAAUGAUAAUUCUGCAUGAGUAUCCUUUGAGCAUGGUAGACCAUGCUGGUUUCCGGAGGUUUGCAAGUGCGCUUUAGCCACUAUUCAAGAUGGGUACUAGGAAUACAGUAAGGUUUGUUCCUUACUGUUUGGUCUUGCUUCCAUUGUAAUUUUUGUAUUCAUUUUUUAAUAUUCCUUCAAAACUUUCAGGAAGGAUAUUGUGAUGCAAUAGGAGAUGGAGAGGAAACAAGCAAUUGAAUAUAUGGCUAGUAUUGAUUCAAGGGUGGCCAUAACUUCUGACUUGUGGACGUCUGACAACCAGAAAAGGGGCUAUAUGGCAGUCACAGCCCAUUUCAUCGAUGAAUCUUGGACUUUGAGAAACAUUAUCAUGAGGUACAUGUCCUGAAAUCUAUUUUUGCACAUGUUUUACCGAUUUUUGCACAUGUCCUACAAUCUGAAAUCUGAUUACAUACUUUGUUACAUGUAUAGGUUCAUCUAUGUACCAGCUCCUCACACAUCUGAAGUGAUUGCUGAAGAACUAUAUGAGUCCUUGGUUGAUUGGAACCUUGAUGAGAAAAUAUCCACAAUUACCCUUGACAACUGCACAACUAACGAUGCGGCAAUCCCUUAUCUGGUGAGGAAGAUUGGAAAAAGUAAGCUUAUAAAUGAAGGAAAACUACUACAUAUGCGUUGUUGUGCUCAUAUUCUUAAUUUGAUUGUUAAGGAUGGUCUAGAACAUAUUAAAACUGCUAUUGAGAAUAUCCGUGAAAGUGUGGCUUAUUGGACAGCAACACCAAAAAGGAUAGAGAAAUUUGAGGAGAUAGCUAAGUUUGUUAAGGUUAGUUUGGAUCAUAAGAUAAACCUUGACUGCAAGACUAGAUGGAAUUCAACCUUUAAGAUGCUUAGUGUUGCAGUCCCCUAUAAAGUUGUUUUCAUUAGAGCAAGUCGUGUUGAUAAGCAAUAUACAUGUUUGCCUAGUGAACAGGAAUGGAAAUUUGCUGCUAAUGUUGUAGAACGGCUUCGAUUGUUCAAUGACAUAACUUUGUUGUUUUCUGGAACUGAAUAUGUUACCGCCAACAUAUACUUCAUAAAAUUUUGUGAGAUUAGGAAGAAAAUUAGACAGUGGUCAACUUGUGGCAGUACAAAGAUUGAAGAGAUGCCAGUUAGCAUGAUAGCCAAAUUUGACAAAUAUUGGUCGGACAUCUAAGGACUGAUGGGUAUUGCAACCCUUAUAGAUCCUCGUCUCAAAAAGUUGAGCUUGCUGAUGUGUUUUGAGUGGCUAACUGGAACAACUGGUUACAUUUGUGAGGAUAAGGUUGCUGAAAUCAUAGAUCUAUUAACUGAAUUGAUGAUUGAAUACCAUGUGGAAGAAGACUGUGACAAUAGCGAAUCAGCAGCAGCUGCAGCUCCAACUAAAGACAUGGAGUUCUUAUCUUCAUUUAGUGCAAGAGUUGCUAGUACAAGGCCAUCUACUGUGCGAUUCAAAUCAGAACUAGAUCGCUACUUAGAAGAUGAACUGGUAUCUCUGGAAACUAAGGGUUUCAAGGUGCUGGAUUGGUGGAAGGUGGCUGGAGUACGUUAUCCAACCUUGAGAAGGAUAGCAAAGGAUAUUUAUGCAAUUCCUAUCACUACAGUGGCAUCUGAGUCUGCAUUUAGCACCAGUGGGAGAGUACUUAGCGAGCAUCGCAGUAGGCUGACUUCAAAAAUGAUAGAGGCUCUUAUGUGCUCACAAGAUUGGUUGCGGAACAAGUACAAAAGUAUGUCCAUUCUCUUGUUUUGUAGCUUGGUUGGUUCUCUUUACUUUGAUUCUAUCCUAAUUGUUGGUUUUCCUUUUUAGUUGACAACAAGGAAAAAGGAGCAGCCACCUUCUGGUCUUGCCUCCAAGAUAUUCAAGAGGGUCUCCAGGUGUGCACAUAUUCAAAUGAAACCACUAUUGCAAUCAUGCUCUUAUUCUGUUAUUCUAGAGUCUAGACACAUACUAACUCUUAUUCUUGUUGUACUGCCUGCCAUGCCAUAUUGCCAUAUAGGAACUUGAACUUUGAGCAAAGCAAGUUGUCUGUUGUCUCCAACUCCAAGUGAAGGAAACCAACACAUCAAGUCAUCAACAAGACAACAAAUGACCAGCAUGUUUGUUGAAUUGUUGUCCUAUAUUUAUAUACCCCAAAAAAUGUAAUGACUUAUGACAAUGAAUUUGUGUGAUGGUGUUUUGUGAGUAUGUGACUGGUGGUUGCAGUGGAGAUUACUAUAUGCUAUUAUUUGUCUAAUUUUAUGUGCUCUGGUACUGGUGGUUGAUGUUGAACCGCUGAUUUUCAUGUGCGUAAAUAAAGUAUUGGCGGGUAUGGGUGACCUGCCGAGUAUGAUUUACCCGGCCGGGUGUGGGUCUGGGGAAAAUUCCCCACCCAUAGCGGGUAUGGGGAUUCUAGCGGUCUCAAAUUUUUAUGAUGGGGAUGGGUCUAGGGUGGCCAUACCCGACGGGGAUUUACCCAUUGCCUUCUUGGCUCCCAGCACGCAUGGUGGCGUCCCUUGCGCGUUGCAAGGUGAAGAUGAUAAGGAAGCUCUCCGACCAGAAACGCCUGAUGGUGAAAUUGUUCGUGCCCACCUUCGGGAGCUCGGAAAUGGCACAACGCAGGCCAUCCAAUGGCACGUCCUACGGUCCACCUGGCGCCGCCGCGAGUACGAGUAGUGCUAGCUGUAGUCUUCCCUCCUCCGCGUCCAUCUCAGCAUCUCGCGAGAGGAAGCACGUCUCCUCGGCGGGGUGAGUCGAUGGAUGCCCAGGCGGAGUGUCCUCGUCGAGGAAGAAGUGUGAGUGUGUCCCGGACUCCCUGCCGGCAUUGUCCUGCGAACCUGACGGCCCCUCCCUGAAAGGCGGCCGUGGCACGUUGCGGUCCGGGCGCAUCUGCGACUGUUUGCGUCCGCGCGAAUGGCUAGAGCGACGGCCUGUCGCCUGACGGGUGCGUUCGGCCCCACGCGCUGGCGAACAGCUAUGACUAGAGUGGUUGUCACUGGAGCCGUCGGAGAAGGCGUCCGUCCAUGUGCCGCGUGUGCCCAUGGAGUUGGUGGAGAGGCAUGGUGACGGCGAACUAGCCGGCAUCCCCCGCCGUCGUCGGACGAGACCGAGCUCACCGGGCUCUGCGGCCGCUUGCAAUCCCUGGCAAGGUGCUAGAAGCCGCGGCAGUGAAAGCACCUCGUCGGCAGGUGACAUUGGGCCACCAAAUGCUUGAAGGAAAGGCAGUUGAGGUAGCACCCAGAGAACUCCGACAGAAUGUGCCUGACCACCGACGAUGGUUGCACCACCGCUGCUUGCCUCAACUGAGCCAGCCGCUAUCGACACCGGCGCCUUGACCUAGUCCGCCGACUCUCAGCGGUGGUCCAGCCCUCCUCCGCCGGUGCCUAGCUUGCCACAGAUUGGACAACCACCGAGCGCACAUGGCCUCGCGCGGCGGCUUCCUCUGUCUGCUAGAUGGGCAGUCCAUGGACCAGAGUCCUCUGGCUGCAGCGUCACUCUGGACGGCAGCCAUGGCGGUCUCUAGUCUGCGGUCCGAGGUGGUCAUGCACCGGCGCAUACAUGAAAAUACGCAACGGCGGGAGGUCAAAGGGGGGUGCUGAGGAUGAGGCAUUAGCGUUGGCCGCGGAAGGCUCCGGCGAGGAAGGAGCACGCAGGAGAACGUCAUAGUAGGAGGGGCGUGGAGGGGAGGCGCAGACCGACGCGGCGUCGGAGUCGGAGUCGUCCAACCAUCUCACCUAUUUUCCUCUCCCGCUCGACGCGCCACCGGGGUGGAAAGGCUCGGUGUUGGGGGAGAGGGCGAAGGGGGGGAGCGGAGGCUGCUGGGUCCGUGAGUGGUGGUCGCCGGCGCCGGAGUGGAGGCCGGCGAGGGUGGUCGUGGGGAUCGGGGAAGGUGGAGCAGGAGCGAGAGAGAGCUAUCCUUGCUGGAUAAUUAUAGGGUAAGACCAGACGUCCUUCCGUAAGAUCGCAAAUCAUAGGAUUGUAAUUAGUAGAGCCGUGAAUUAUAUUGUAGAUUAUUGUACUAGCAAAUUAAAAUGGUACAAUUAUUGGUCUAGCAAUUCAAAUCCAAAAAUUGUAUGAUAGAAUAGAUAUUCUGACAACCAGGGUCUAUAGUAGUGGUGGUCUACCUCAUCCAGACGCCAACUUGUUUAUCUGUCCUGUUGGUCAGGCUCAGCGGGCAUACGUUGUGCUCGUCCGGAACCGAUGGUGGGAAGCGGAGCUCCAGCGGGUAGACGUCCAGCAGUCUCUUUCCUCUUCUUCCUUUUUCUCGGUAAAGAAAAAUAAGGCAGCCGAUGGAUUGAUGUUUAUCGUUUUAGUAGAAAUCUGGGCCACAGACUGCUGUUAGUUGCUACUAUGGUACUACAGCAUAAAUGUCACCUUCCCUAUCUUAUCUUACUAUUUCACAUAAAUGUCACCAUCCCUAUCUUACAGUUACAUCAGUAAAACCUAGUCGUGUGCUGAAAAAUUCAUGCAACACCUGAGCAAAACUGGUCAGCACCCAGUUUGUUCACUGUAAACUAAAACAGAUAAACCCUGCUCCUCAACUUAAAACCUCUGUAAACUUUCGAACUACUCAAUACUACAAUUUUUUUUUUGGGAGGAAUCACUGCCUGCAUUGCUAAUCAGGUAGUGCAGCUAACUUUAUCCCUUAUCACUGCAACUGUUGGAAGAUGGAGCAGAGUAGAUUAACAAGACAACUGGAAACCCCAAUGAUAUGGAGAAUAAUUCCAUGUACAGAUGUUCUCCACAUGAGCACAUGGUCACAUGGAGAAGACAGCACACGCAAAUCUUUGGAGUUCUCUGCAUUUUGUUAAGUUUCCUGGGAUCUCCAAGCAAAGAGAAGGACCAGUGAACUACCUGUACACAACGUGCUCCCAAGUCUGAAUCCGUACUUGCUUCCUCUCACCAAACCCCGGCCGGACUUGGAUUGGAUGGACGCCGGAGUUUGGGUUGUUGCCACCAACGUAAUUCCAAAAUCCCCAUUGGUGGCUUGGAGGGAGCUGAACUCAUGUAGUAUGUGAUUUGCAAUAGACUUGCAACCUACCUAAAGCUUUCUAAUCCCCACAAAGAAGAUAUGCUAAAUUAUUAAUUCAACAAUAACACAGCAUAUCUAAAAGCAAAGGAAUAAUGCAGCGUCCAAAGUGCAAAAUAGCAGCAGCAUUUUUUUUAACCUUGACUCGCAGAUUUAUGAACAAUUAAACGAGGAACUGAACAAAGAUUCAACCCAAAAACACAUAGUAUAUAUGAACCAAGACUAGUUAACCCACUCUCUAAAUUACCUCAACUUUUUUUUACCUCUAUACCUCUCCACACCACCCUUUAUUACAAUUCACCACCCCUCUUUCUUCCUUGUUUCCGGUAGACUAACAAGCCAAGCCAACCUACCUCGCCGGAGCAGAGUAAGCAGAGUCCAGAACAGAGCAACUGAGCAAGUCAGGUUAGACCUCGACGCGGCAGUAGGUGGGCGUCUGGAACCUGAGCCCGUGCGCCCCGACGACGCUGUAUGUGCCGCUGCUGAUGAAGUAAGCCGGGCAGGUGACGAAGAUGUGGUAGUGCCCGGACGUCCAGCUCCCGACCUUCCACCUGACGCGUCCGUCGAUCCUGACCUCCAUGAUGAGGUACCCGUUGGCGACGUCCUUCCUCAUGGCGUCGGCGAGGAACGGCGCGAACGGAACGUUGGGCCCGGCCAGCACGGGCGACCACACGUCGACGUCGCCGUGGCCCUGGUACACUGUCGGGAGCCUGGACGCCAGCGUGACCUGCUGGUACUUGUAGGAGGCGUAGACGUCGAGGCGGUCGUAGUGGACCCCGACGCGGGCGUUGGGGUUGCGGGAGGCGAUGGUCACCUGCGCCGCCGUCGAGAGCAGCGGCGCCGAGCCGUUGGAGAGGUCCAGCUGCCGGAGCGUGGCGUCCUGGAGGAUGAAGCGCGGGUGGGUCGGGUGGAGGACGAGGAAGACGAUGAGCGCGAUGACGCCGGCGAGGAGGGCGAAGCCCAGCAGGAUGAUGAGAAGGCGGCGGCACGUCUGCUUGAACUCGUCGUCGCCGUGGUUGCCGCAGUCCUUGCUCAUGGCUGACACCUGCGGCUGCUGGUGGUGGUGGCGGCGCUCGCUGGCUGGCUGGCUGUUUGGGCUUCUUGCCUGGUGAUGUGUGUGUUGGUGGAGGAGGCUUGAGGGAGGCUGUGAGGUGUGAGCUGGGUGUGUGCGUCUGUUUGGGAAUGGUUUGUAUUAUAUUUUGGUCACUCUUUGUUUAUUAUGUUCAUGUUGAAAUCAUGGAGGGAGGGAGGGAGGGAGAGAAAGGUGUCCAUGUCGAGGGGCUUUCCUUUUGCCCGGGAUGUGUCUGGCUUGCCCGAGAUAUCAUCAUUGAUGGAGAGAUCUUUGGUUUCUUCCAUUUUGAUUUAUUAAGCCAUUCUCGAUGCAAAGUUUUAUGCUAUGUUUCCAAAAGUGCCAUAUAAGUAAAAAUACAUUUAGUUCAUAAAUGAAAUACCUCACAUAUUGCUUCAUCUUUUGUUGUUUUCAAAUUACAUGCAACUAAUUUCUUCUUUUACCUUAUAAAUAAGGUGCCAUGUCAUUACAAUUACCUACAUGGCACCUCAUUUAUUGUUCAUAAAACUGCCAUUGAGAAUGGCCUUAGGGUGCGAUUCUAGGUGUAGGGAUCUUUGGCAUCAUAUUUAUCAGGAAUUCGUAAAGGAAUUUCUAUUGUUUAUUUUAGUUCAUGUCCAAAUCAUAAUUUUGUGGCGUUCCAAACAUCGAGACACAAAUGUUGCAAUCCAUGAUGAUAAGGGGUGAAAACUAUAUAUGGUUGGACAAUCUUUUUUUCCCCAAAAGAGUACUAAAAUAACCUUGGAUUUUGCCCGUGUAAUUUCAGUAAGUACCGAUUAUAAGUUAUGAGUAUAUUUUUUUUUUUGGAAAGGAACGGCAAAUCUUCUGCCGUAAUUUUUAUUAGAAGAAAGAGGAAAAAACAAAAAAAAAGGAGUUGCCAAAACAUGCAAGUUAGUUGUAAUAUAGUGGUACACACGUCUUUGCACAAGGCUACAUAGUUGAUUCAUCAUCCAUUCAUGUUUCCCUAACGGAAAAAAGAAAAGGAAGGAAAGCAAAGAAGAAGACGAGACCAUGCUUGGUGAGAUGACAUCGUGUGCAGGCACAGCAUAGCACAGCAACAGGAAAUGGGAAUGCUAUCAUUGGCAUCCUGUAUCAUGCUACCCCCACAUGGGAGGAAGAACACACAUACGACUGGACCGUAGCGCGGAUGCAUUGAACUGAAUCGAGCUAGCGGCUCACGGCUAAUAUCGUAGGACGACGGACCUUGACCGGGGUAACAAGAAGAAACAAAAAAAAAAAAAAAGACUCGAUCGGUCGCUGUGAAGGGCAUGCGUGUCGUGCCGUCCCUGCCCCCGGUAUGUCGUACACCGGAGGGGCCCUUCUGUACACCACGCGGCGAUUUCACACGAAGCCACCCGGUGCACCGACGUAGCACUGGGACCCUGGGCGCAGCGAGCGGCACGCGGAUGCAUCGCCACACGGCGCACUGCAGGCACGGCGCCGAACUUGGCGCACCCAUGCAACGCAAGGCCUUUCUCGGCUGGCUGGCAUCUCCCCGUCCCGUCUCCGAUCGAGGAAAGCCGCUUUGAUCUACUAAUUUCUUUGGGCUGCCCCUAGAAUCUGAUUCUGCUCGCCUACCGCCACGACUGCAGCCAGGAGCUCGCAGCUUUGGCACGGAUUCUUCCACCACUUGUAACUUGUUCUACGUAAACAACAACAAAGCGAUCGAGGAAAAAACCCGUCGGAAAGCAGAGCACGAACGAGUCCACUUUCUCUGAUGCCCAGAGCGGCGCCGGAGCAAAGCCGCCGGCGACAGGACGGGGCCCCCGCCACGCCGCGACCAGAGGUCCAAGUUCCUACAGGCAGAGGGGCGGAGAUCGACGACCGAGCGGCAGGGACGCACAUUUACGACUCGGAAUGAAUGCGAGCAUACGGAUGGGCACAGAGAGAGAAACUAAAAUAAUCACCAGCGUGGCUGCUGCUUCUCCUUCGAUGCCCUGCUCUGCCCUCUCAAGCCCACACGCAGGGCCCUCCAAGCUUCAGCUGAUGGCAAGGGACUCCCGUACACAACACCGUCUCUCCACACCCUGUUUCACCAACUAUGUAACUAUUAAAGGUGUUUCGAUCCUUAACUAAAGUUUAGUCCAUGUUUUCGAGGUUAAUUAGGAGUGUUUGAUCUUAACUAAAAUUUAGUCAUAUCACAUCGAAUCUUCGGGGCUAAUUAGGAGGAUUAAACAUGAGUUAAUUAUAAAACUAAUUACACAGAUGGAGGUUAACUCGCGAGACGAAUCUAUUAAGCCUAAUUAAUUCAUGAUUAGCACAUAUUUAUUGUAGCAUCACAUUGUCAAAUCAUGGACUAAUUAGACUUAAUAGAUUCGUCUCGCGAAUUAGCAUCCAUCUGUGCAAUUGGUUUUGUAACUAAUUAGUAUCUGGGAACCAACGGACCUUUAUUUUCUCCAUUGUAAACUGUAGGUACAGUCAUAGAGUCAUGAAUCCGAAAAUACUAAAACUAGUAUAAAUUGGUCUCCACUUGUUCUGACCUCUGCUUACUACUACCAGGAAAGGAAGAACAUAAGGCUCCACCCCCUCCUUUCCUGCUGCCAGGAAAAACAACCCUUGGUGUUUGCUACAGGGAGCUAACUAUUAUAGUAUGCUACAGACAAUGCAUCAUUCCUUAUGGUCCAGUCAAGGAGGAUAAGAUCGUAUCCCAGCGCAGGGGCAGGGCAACCCCAGGCCACUCCCCCACCAAGGGCACCGAACCCCUGCAAAUCCUACACCAUUCCAAGCGCGAGAGCCUCCCGCGAUCGUCCUUCCUCCGCAACAAGACACACAGAUAUCUUCCAAUAAGCUUCUUCCAGCUACUCCCUCCAUUUCAAAUUGUAUAUCGUUUUAGCUUUUCUAAGUUUAUAAUAUUAUUAUGCAACUAAACAUACACUAUAUCUAAGUAUUAAAUCAAAACGACCUAUAAUUUGGAACGGGACGGGAGGAGUAGUUGCCAUGGUCCCUCACUAACCCUCAGAGAGGCCAAAGCCAUCUCUCCCAAAGCCGUCUUCUUCCACAAUAGACCACCUACCAACUGGAGGCUCUCAGCUCAAGUACUCAACUCAAGAAAGAAAUCAAGCUCCUCCAGCCCCGGGUGAUCCAAGGCGUUUGGUCACCAAACCUCGGCCGCAUCUCCCCUAUCCUGUCACCCGUAACCAUGACCGUCCAAACCACAGAGAAGCAACUAGCCAACCAUGCCUGCGGCACCAAUGAUGAUGCUCUUAGCCAGCAGCUAAUGAUCUAACGUGGCUGCAGCACACCAUUCACAUCACAGAAAUGACUUGAAAUAAGCUACCGGCUACUGCACUGAGCGACGCAGACGACAUGGUGUGGGCAGUGGCCCUCCCUAUACUGAAUGCAGCAUUGCAGCAGCGUUUCAUGGUACAGGCAGAGGCAGGCCCAGCGUUUAAGGAGAAACAUGGCAUGAGCAGGGGUGCAGUGAUGUGAAGGGCCACUGUCUGAAUCAGGAUCAUCAACAUGCCUGCCAGGCCACCACCACCCCCCUAAUUGGAUGAUAACGCAUCAUACCAGCCAGGUUGUAUCAACUUGGUAGCAUCAGCUGACAUAAUAGAAAUCAUUGAGUGUUGUGAUGUGAUGCCAAAAUUACAUCUCAUAGGACUAACAGUAGACAGGACGACGCAGGAAGGCAGGUGCCAACCAGCUUCAAUCAAUUUUUUCCCCCCGAAAGAUAGCUUCAAUCAAUUAGAUGAACAACGGAACCAUCUCUCCAAAUCAAUUAGAUCAAUGGUGUUAACAUGUGAAGUUGUAGCUCUAUGCAAAUGCAAGAAACCAACUCUUCAAACCACAGUUGCUGUAUUCAGGGACAAUGUAGUCUUCCUGGUGCAAGGAAGGUGACGCACAUGAACAGGACAGCAAAUGGGCACUAUGAGUGACAAUCCGGCAUCCAUCUCCAUGUAACCAGAGAGCUUGUUUUCAAGCACUAACUCAAUGUACAAAGUUCCCUGAACCCCCCACACCGUGUAGAAUAACCACCAUGCACAAACAUUCUUGCCAUAAAUUUGCACAACCACUCAUACUGAAACCAUCAUAGAUACAAAGGUCAUAUUCCCACUAAGCAUAAUCAUUCUGGACUUCUCUCGCUCGGUAUUCUACUACAGCCAGCUAUAUUUGCCCAGCUAUUACCCCAUCAAAUCAAUGUUGAUCAACUUCUUGUAGUGCCAGUUAGCUUCUCAUACCUAUGGAAUGAUCUCCCUCUGAUCAGCAUCCCAGGUAGUCAACAAACAUGGAUGGUGAUCCUAAUAACAUAAGAGCAAACAGUUAACCAAGUCCAGAUAUCAUACAGAAGGUGCUAAGAAUAUAGUUUGUCCAAUCCAGGGUCUCCAGUUACCAUAAUCGCUAAUGCGCUAUUGGCAGCACACAAAAAAAACAGAGUAAAAGAUAAAGCAGAAUAAACAAGCAAUUAAGAAAAGGCAAAGUUUUCUGUCUAGCGCCCAGGCAGUGAUUCAUGAGAUCCCGUAACAACAGCAAACAUAUGUAACAAAGAAAAUCACUACUUUAUCUGUUUCCUAAAAGAUGAAAUACAAAAGGUAGAUCAUUUUGCAGUCCUGCACGACCCAGCAUUAAAUAAUAGCUAGAACUCUAAAACAUGUGGAAACAUCAUUCGUGCGGACCACCCAAAAUGGCCUCCAAGCCAUAAUGGUGUGCAGACUAAUGCUUGGCAAAACCACAAAAGUAUAAUACACAUGAAUUUCAGAACUUGAAUUGCAUAUUUAGCAAGCAGAAAUAACGGUAACCACAUCCAAUGUUUAGCAAGCUGAAAUAACACUAACCAGAUCAUGCUUAAUUCCCCCCUAUCACUAUUAAUUUCCAUUAAAAUGUUCAUGCAACUACGAUGUAAGGGUCAUCUUUAUUACCCUGAUAUUAGCAUCAAUAUAAAACCCAGUAUUUCACAAUGUACACCAGAACUUAAUACAUUCAUUAAUAUGAGCAUGCCAACAAAGUAGAACUAUCAACAAAAAAAAAUGAGCAUGCCUUCCAUGUAUUCACGGAGGUCAGGUCUCUAAAUAGCGAUUGAACAGAGGACACAUCCUUUGACCCUUGAAGACUCAUUUGACGCAUUAUAUACAGUUCGUUACUAUGAAGCAUUCUAAACAUAAAUCGGUGAAGAUUAACACUAAUAUGACAGGUUUUGGGCACGAAGCAAUAAGGCUCAAAGCGAAUAUCAACAUCCUACUUUACAUUGCAAGAUAUAGUGUUAAUAGUCCACAACUUCCUGUCAAGGAACUUUCAUGCUUUAAAAUAAAGAUCCACAUCACCCAGCUCAGCAGUUCUACACUAUGGCCAAUCAUAUAUGGGAAAUGACAAUCAAAAGCAUCCUAAUAAUUUGUGCUGUUCGCAAACAUUAGCUUCAAAUUGCUACAGAAUUCAUCAACUAAAAAUUAGUACAUCUCGUAUUGCGAUCAACCAUGUGAAAGACAAACCAUAGGUACGGACCAUGACUAAAAUCUUACCGUACCAGGCAAAGCUCUAUGUUCAUCUGUCCUCAAUAGCACUAGGCGCCUCAGUGAUUCAGCCAUAACUACUGCCAGUUCAUAUGAAUUGCUACAAGAAUUGCCCACUUCGGGAUAGGCGCCUCCAUCCACCCAUUGCUUGAUAGGUAAUGGCCGCUUAUCACACCUAAUUGACCUAGGCACCAACCUGCCUACGAUUUAGUGAUUGGUGCUUUUUAAAACACUGUAGGCCAUAUAGACAAAAUAGGGUAGGUUAGGGCCAACUAUACCAAGGCAGAACACAAACAUAAGCCAAUCCAAACAUCUGGCACUGGAAUGGUCUUUGGCAUUCACUACAUCAUGCAUGUGUUACAGAAUCUAAAAAUUGAAAAAAGAAAUUAAUACAACUGUAGGUUUUCCAAAUUCAUAGUGACCUUCACAGCUAUUGAUGUGGCCAGGUUUUCUCCGUUGCUUAACUGGGAGAUUAGAGAACCCAGGCUAGUCAAACAUAUAGGGUUAUAUAUGUUUUUUUUGUCCAUUUGUGGUAACGUACUCACAUUGCCUUUGACAUUUGACACAGACGUCACUACCAUUGAAAUUCCCACAAAACCAAUUCCUCUCUGCUCAAAUCUAAAUGAACAAGUAACUCGCACAAACAAGGACAGGAUUGAAGAAAAAAUGCUAGCCCCUUGAAACCCAAUCAACACGACAUAUUUCACAAGAUUGAAAACCUCUACAGUGGCCAACAUCCCAACACAAUACUAAUGGGUUUUCUGCACGUUCAUAAGUAAAAAAAAGAUGGUUUGCGAAUGGGUUCGCAGACAAAAUUGAUACAAAAGUGAAUUAGGCACCGCAAUAACCAAUUCAUAUGAACCCUGCCUAAGCACCCUGUUGCCAGCCUAAAAUUGCAUUGAUCUUUUGCUUAAUUGACUAUGCAUUGGCAACAAGAUUCUACGGAGUCAAAAGAACCAUUUAAUACAAGUAUAA